AGUGAACGCUGGCGGUAGGCCUAACACAUGCAAGUCGAACGGCAGCACAGGAGAGCUUGCUCUCUGGGUGGCGAGUGGCGGACGGGUGAGGAAUACAUCGGAAUCUACUUUUUCGUGGGGGAUAACGUAGGGAAACUUACGCUAAUACCGCAUACGACCUACGGGUGAAAGCAGGGGACCUUCGGGCCCUGCGCGAUUGAAUGAGCCGAUGUCGGAUUAGCUAGUUGGCGGGGUAAAGGCCCACCAAGGCGACGAUCCGUAGCUGGUAUGAGAGGAUGAUCAGCCACACUGGAACUGAGACACGGUCCAGACUCCUACGGGAGGCAGCAGUGGGGAAUAUUGGACAAUGGGCGCAAGCCUGAUCCAGCCAUACCGCGUGGGUGAAGAAGGCCUUCGGGUUGUAAAGCCCUUUUGUUGGGAAAGAAAUCCAGCUGGCUAAUACCCGGUUGGGAUGACGGUACCCAAAGAAUAAGCACCGGCUAACUUCGUGCCAGCCGCCGCGGUAA
Molecule: ribosomal RNA, 506 nt
Filed under: uncultured bacterium
Lineage: Bacteria
Description: partial 16S ribosomal RNA
Rfam family: Bacterial small subunit ribosomal RNA
Source: RNAcentral